Molecule: ribosomal RNA, 434 nt
Filed under: uncultured bacterium
Lineage: Bacteria
Description: bacterial SSU rRNA
Rfam family: Bacterial small subunit ribosomal RNA
Source: RNAcentral
GGGGAAUCUUGCGCAAUGGUCUAACGACUGACGCAGCGACGCCGCGUGUGGGAGGACGCCUUUCGGGGUGUAAACCACUGCUGCCCGGGACGAACAGGGUCAUUCGUGACCCCUGACGGUACCGGGUGAGGAAGCACCGGCUAACUCCGUGCCAGCAGCCGCGGUAAUACGGAGGGUGCGAGCGUUGUCCGGAAUCAUUGGGCGUAAAGGGCGCGUAGGUGGCCCGGUCAGUCUUUGGUGAAAGCGCGGGGCUCAACCCUGCGUCGGCCAGGGAUACUGCCGCGGCUGGAGCACUGUAGAGGCAGGCGGAAUUCCGGGUGUAGCGGUGGAAUGCGUAGAGAUCCGGAAGAACACCGGUGGCGAAGGCGGCCUGCUGGGCAGUAGCCGAAAGGCUUUCAAGCUGACACUGAGGCGCGACAGCGUGGGGAGCAAAC